Molecule: long non-coding RNA, 1269 nt
Filed under: Bos grunniens (domestic yak)
Lineage: Eukaryota; Metazoa; Chordata; Mammalia; Artiodactyla; Bovidae
Description: lncRNA (ENSBGRG00000007585.1)
Source: RNAcentral
GGCGUGCGGCGCCCAGGCAGUCGGGCAUCGUGCCCCCGGAGAGAGGGAGGCCCUCAGUGCAAGCUCCUUGGCACCCAGACAGAUCCUGCCAGCAAGCACGGAGCCCGGGCCAAGCGCCCUGCCUUCCCAGCCGCUUUGGCCUUUGGAAUUCUCGCCCUGCAUCGAAUGGGAAGAAGUCCUCAAGAUUCCGAGCAGUGACUUUCCCCACGAAUAAAAGACUCUUGAACGAGGCUGCAAACCUUUGGGAUUUGUUUUUAACUGUGGACGCCCCCUCAGCUCUCAGGGAGAGGUGGAAGCACCGCACCGAGGGCUGGCAUGGAUAGUGGGUCCGCGGGAGCCUUCCCGUCUCGCUGCCUUUUCUCUUAAUUGGGAUCUGGGAAGUGUUUGCGCUUGCAUACAGACAUCCUUUUGAAAAUUUAAGGCCACGUGCAUGUCUGCUACUUGAUAUUUCAGCUCCCGCAGUUUGGGAGGCCUUGGCAGUUGGGCCAUCUUCAGCGGAUGCUGCUGCACUUUAAAAUAAGCAAACCACAGUAUUUUCAAAUUUCCCUUGUCCCAGCCCUCCUCUUGGAUGUGGAAAGGGCCUAGAUUUUCCAUAGUGGGCUAGAGUGUUCUUAAAAAUGUUUCGUAUAAGUCGUUCUUUCCCCAGGCAGAAGAAGAUGCUUGGUGAGUUGAAAUGCCAGCGUGAUCGUCAGGCCUUGGCUGUGAGCCGCCAGAGCCGGUCCCGGCCUCCAGCUCCUUUGUGCAGGCAAAGCACAUGGUCGCUGCUGGACUUCUGGGCCAUCGGCAGUCAGAGAAGCUGGCCUCUCAGUGGCUGGACUCCCCGGCGGGAGAAGAGGGAAGGAAAGAGCUUUCUGUGCCUCCUGGAGCCACAGUGGGGAGUGGUGACUUGAAGGAUGAAGCCUGCCCACCAAGAAGAUCCUGCUCUGAACCCACUGGGCACAGGCUACAGCUAUGGGCACCAGUCUGGUUGGUGGUCUUCAUUCACUGCUGAUGGCCGUGGAUGCCAGGAUAAGGUGGCCAUGCAUGACCAGGGCCAGUGAGCCUCCUGAGGACUCGACUUCUUCAAAUCUCCGUCAUCCCUUGGAGUGCAAGGAACAGCCUUCGGGAAGAAAUGGGAGGUUCUGCUCUUGUGUGACGUCACGGUACUGGUGUGCAUUUCUGGCUCACAUCAUGGGACACAGGGCCAUCCUGGCCUUACUGUCAGUAAGCGGGCCGGUGCCUGAAGCCCCUUUGGCAGAGGCCAACCCUGCUUCUCCUCAGGACUGGUGA